GCUGGCGGCAUGGCUAAGACAUGCAAGUCGAACGGACUUUAUGAUUGGGUAACCUUGAAUAAAGUUAGUGGCGAAAGGGUGAGGAAUAGAUAGGAACGUGCCUUUGGCUUCGGAAUAGCGUCCCGAAAGGGGCGGUAAUACCAGAUAACGUCUACGGACCAAAGAUUUAUCGGCCUUAGAGCGGCCUAUCUCCUAUCAGCUUGUUGGUGGGGUAAUGGCCUACCAAGGCAACGACGGGUAGCGGGACUGAGAGGUUGGCCCGCCACAUCGGGACUGAGACACUGCCCGGACCUCCACGGAGGGCUGCAGUAACGAAUAUUGGGCAAUGGGCGAAAGCCUGACCCAGCAAUGCCGCGUGUAGGAUGAAGCCCCUCGGGGUGUAAACUACUGUCAGGGGUUAGAAAGCUACGGUUGAUCAACCCCAGAGGAAGUCACGGCUAACUUCGUGCCAGCAGCCGCGGUAAUACGAAGGUGGCGAGCGUUAUUCGGAAUUACUGGGCUUAAAGCGCACGCAGGCGGAAUAUUUAGCGUCUUGUGAAAUCCCCCGGCUUAACCGGGGAAUUGCAGGGCGAACUGGUAUUCUCGAGGCCAGUAGGGGUGCAUGGAACUCUUGGUGCAGCGGUGGAAUGCGUAGAUAUCAAGACGAACGCCGAUGGUGAAGACAGUGCACUGGGGCUUUGUCCUGACGCUGAGGUGCGAAAGCGUGGGGAGCGAACGGGAUUAGAUACCCCGGUAGUCCACGCCGUAAACGAUGCCUACUAGGUCGUGGUUGUUCUGACACACUCACGGCCGAAGCAAAAGUGUUUAGUAGGCCGCCUGGGGAGUACGGUCGCAAGGCUAAAACUCAAAGGAAUUGACGGGGGCUCACACAAGCGGUGGAGCAUGUGGAUUAAUUCGAAGCAACGCGCAGAACCUUACCUGGGUUUGACAUGUAUGGAUGCCUGCUGUGAAAACAGUUAGGUUGCCUUCGGGUGAAACUUACACAGGUGCUGCAUGGCUGUCGUCAGCUCGUGUCGUGAGAUGUCGGGUUAAGUCCUUUAACGAGCGAAACCCUUGCCGUUAGUUGCCAGCGGGUCAUGCCGGGGACUCUAACGGGACUGCCGGUGUCAAACCGGAGGAAGGUGGGGAUGACGUCAAGUCCUCAUGGCCUUUAUGCCCAGGGCCUCACACGUGCUACAAUGGGUGCUACAGAGCGACGCGAGACCGCGAGGUGGAGCUAAUCGCAAAAAAGCAUCCUCAGUUCGGAUUGCAGGCUGGCAAUUCGCCUGCAUGAAGUUGGAAUCGCUAGUAAUCGCGUAUCAGCUAUCACGCGGUGAAUGUGUUCCUGAGCCUUGUACACACCGCCCGUCAAGUGAUGGAAGCCGGGAGUACCCGAAGUCGGGUUGCUAACCUUUUGGGGGCGCCUGCCGACGGUA
Molecule: ribosomal RNA, 1415 nt
Filed under: uncultured organism
Description: 16S ribosomal RNA
Rfam family: Bacterial small subunit ribosomal RNA
Source: RNAcentral